Molecule: non-coding RNA, 1918 nt
Organism: Solanum lycopersicum (tomato)
Lineage: Eukaryota; Viridiplantae; Streptophyta; Magnoliopsida; Solanales; Solanaceae
Source: RefSeq, a predicted model, not a curated record
UAAUUUGAAUUUGUAAAAAACGAGAAAGAGAGAAAGACAAAAGAAAUUGGGCAAUGGAGUAUUUUUAUUGUAUAAUUAUAAGUGUAUAGGACGAAAAAAUAUGUGCUUGCAUGUGUAUAUCUAUUCUUUUUAUAUCUAAUUCUUGUAAAUCUAUUUCAUACCAUUCUUGAUUUAAUAUAUCUUCUAUAUCAUGAUCACAUAUUUUUUCCCAUAUAAUUCUUUUUAUGUCAACAAUUUCUAUAUCUUUAAGCAUAUAUAAGAUCAAACUUUUAUAGCUUUAUAUUUCAUCAUACAUUGUAAUCAUGUUUAUUUAUUUAUGCAGGUUUAUUUUCAAUUAUUCCUUCCUAUCAUGUCAUAAUUCAAUUAAAUUCAUAUUAGUGUAUUAUAAGCUAGAGUAUCGUUAUCAUGUUUUUUGGUCAGUACUAGCAUCGUACUUUAGCGGAUAAUUACUGCUUAUCAGCGCCUCAACCUUGUGUACUCCCCUAACGGCAUCCCUACCGGUUUCCACUAUAGGAUGACAUAGUAUAACAGUUUUCUCCCUGUUUCCCGUUUACUAGCAAACUAGAAUUCAUGAUUCAAAUACUAGUAUAUAAUAACUAACAUAAAUUUAAUCAAUCAUAUAUAUGAUAUUCAGGAAUAUAUGAAAUUAGUUCUGCAUAGUUGUUAAACAAUAUAUCUUUGUCUCUUGAUUUUCCAUGCUUUCUAAAAUAUCUGACUUGAUUUUGGAUUUCUCCAUUUUUUAACUUAGUUUUUUUUAGAGAGGGUUUUAAAAGGGUUUUUAUUAACUUAAGAUUUUGUUUGGCAUUGCCUUCCUUUCAUUUACAAUUUGACAAUCUAUAUAUACUAAAUCCUAAACCUGUACAUAAGUGCGCCUAGUGUAUACUUUACAACUUUUUAAACAAAACUUUACAAAUGGCCGGCUAUACAUAUUGGUCUUUCAAAAUUUAAAAGCUAUUUACUAUACAAAGGAAUCUUAUCUCUUAUUUUUAUAUUUUUUCAAAGAUAUCUAUCCCUUUUGUCUACCACCUUUUUUGUUUAUAUCUCUCUUUAUGUCUUUUUUCUUCUUUUGUCUUUGUCGUCAUUUUUCUUUGUCUACUAUAGCUCUUUUUCUUCAUCCUUAUCUUAUUUUGCAUUCUUAUCUCUUCAUCUUUAUUCCAAAUCAAUAUCUGACAUAACAUUAUCUUCUCCAUUGCAUUUGAAACAUCUGUGAUCUUGGUAUUUGUGUCCAAUAAAUUUACAAUAUCUAAUUAAUAAGUCUUUUGAAAUAAAUUCUUUCUUUAAUGCUCGUGUUGUAGGUUGUUCCUCUAGCUUUAGUAAUGAUAAAAUUCGUCGCUGAACUUCAUCCAUAUCUGCUCUUCUGAAUUCCCUUGAGUUUGAAUAUAUUAUAACUUGAUCUCUAGCGUAAUAGCUCCAUAUGACAUUUCCAUUUAAAUAGUUAUUUGCUAAUUCUUGUAUGAUAGUUGAUAUACCAAUUAUUCUUUUAUUAGCAUAAAAAUUUGGUAUUUCUAUCUUUGGUAUUUCAUUCUGAUGUCCAAUAUCCUCUGCUGUAUUUAAACAAACAUUAUGGGUUUUAGGGAGUUUCACAUCGUCUCCUUUUAUCUCUGGAAUUUACCAUCUCCCGAUCGACGUAGCUCCACAUUUUAUAGUCAUGCUGCUGGCUUAUAUUAACUUUAGACUUCAGGUUAUCUUCAUUUGUCUUUAACUUUUGUAUCUCAUUGUCCAUACUAUCCACUUUAGUACAAAGUUUAUUAAUGGUUUUGAGUAUCUUUUCAAUUGUAUCUUCGUCUUUGUUCUCAGUCUGAGUAGCUUUGUCUUGAUAAGUAGUCUGCAACACCAUUCUUAUCAGUCUUUAUCACUUCAAUUGUAAAUGUAAAGUUUAAUAUAUUUAAUACCAAUUUUCUAAUUUCUUUCGUUGUUA